Molecule: ribosomal RNA, 253 nt
Filed under: uncultured bacterium
Lineage: Bacteria
Description: partial 16S ribosomal RNA
Rfam family: Bacterial small subunit ribosomal RNA
Source: RNAcentral
UACGGGGGGAGCAAGCGUUACUCGGAAUUAUUGGGCGUAAAGGGCGCGUAGGCGAUCUGAAAAGUUCUGUGUGAAAGCCCACAUGUUAACUGUGGAAGUGCACAGAAAACUGUUGGAUUUGAGUUCAGGAGAGGAAGGCAGAAUUCCCGGUGUAGCGGUGAAAUGCGUAGAGAUCGGGAGGAAUACCAGUGGCGAAGGCGGCCUUCUGGACUGACACUGACGCUGAGGCGCGAAAGCCAGGGGAGCAAACGGG